Molecule: ribosomal RNA, 253 nt
Filed under: uncultured bacterium
Lineage: Bacteria
Description: partial 16S ribosomal RNA
Rfam family: Bacterial small subunit ribosomal RNA
Source: RNAcentral
UACAGAGGUCCCAAGCGUUGUUCGGAUUCACUGGGCGUACAGGGUGCGUAGGCGGUCGGGUAAGUCUGAUGUGAAAUCUCACAGCUUAACUGUGAAACUGCAUUGGAUACUAUCCGGCUCGAGGAAUGGAGGGGAGACUGGAAUACUUGGUGUAGCAGUGAAAUGCGUAGAUAUCAAGUGGAACACCAGUGGCGAAGGCGAGUCUCUGGACAUUUCCUGACGCUGAGGCACGAAAGCCAGGGGAGCAAACGGG